RNAcentral lists this unclassified non-coding RNA (1573 nucleotides) under Hevea brasiliensis (rubber tree). Lineage: Eukaryota; Viridiplantae; Streptophyta; Magnoliopsida; Malpighiales; Euphorbiaceae. The record is from RNAcentral.
GGAUUUUUCUCGGAGUUUUUACGCAGAGCUCUAAUUGGCCCAACUUUCUUCUUGCCAAAGCAAAAAAUAUAUAACGUUUCUUGUCCAGUGUUUCUUAUCCAAUCUUCUAUAUAUAGGCCUUCACCUUCCCUCAUCUAGCACAAACUAUUUUCUUUUCACUUCCAAUCUCAUCAAACCUCUGUACCUCAGAGCAAACAGCAGACAUGGCUAAUGGUGAUUCUCAUGAUUUUGCUUCUCUCCUCUCUUCUUCUGAGAGGGAUUUCCUCAUUCGAAACAACGGUGAUCAGGUUAAGAUUGACAGCUUGAAGGGAAAGAAGCUGGCAUUAUAUUUUUCAGCAUCAUGGUGUGGCCCAUGUCAGCAAUUCACCCCAACCUUGGUGGAGGCUUACAAUGAACUUGCACCAAAAUGUGACUUUGAGAUUGUUUUCAUCUCAGCCGAUGAAGAUGAUGAAUCAUUCAAAAAUUAUUUUUUGAAGAUGCCAUGGCUUGCAAUUCCGUUCUCUGAUUCAGAGAUACGCGAUCACUUGGAUGAGCUAUUCAAGGUGCAGGGAAUACCCCACCUUGUGAUCCUUGAUGAAAGUGGGAAAGUUUCAUGUGAAAGUGGUGUUGAGAUCAUUCAGGAGUAUGGAGUUGAAGGUUAUCCUUUUACACCAGAAAAGAUCAAAGAAUUAAAAGAGCAAGAAGAAGAAGCCAGAAGGAAUCAACCUUUGAGAUCUAUCUUGGUUUUCCAUUCACGUGACUAUCUAAUUUCAUCCGAUGGAAAGAAGAUACCUGUCUCUGAACUUGAAGGGAAGACAGUAGGCCUGUAUUUCUCAUUGUCUUCAUACAAAUCGUGUGUUGAUUUUACUCGAAAGCUUGCUGAAGUUUAUGAGAAAUUGAAAGCACAGGGAGAGAAAUUUGAAGUCGUGUUCAUUUCACUGGAUGAUGAUGAAGAAGCUUUCCAGCAAUCCUUAGCAAACAAACCCUGGUUAGCAUUGCCUUUCAAGGACAAGUGCUGUGGGAAGUUAGUCCGGUAUUUUGAACUCUCAACUGUGCCCACUCUGGUUGUUAUUGGACCAGAUGGAAAAACUCUCCAUUCCAAUGUUGCUGAAGCCAUUGAAGAAUAUGGAAUUCAGGCAUACCCUUUCACCCCUGAAAAGUUUGCAGAGCUUGCGGAGAUAGAGAAAGCCAAAGAAGCUGCCCAAACCCUGGAAUCAGUUUUGGUUUCAGGGGACUGGAAUUUUGUCAUUGCGAAAGAUGGAGCAAAGAUUCUGGUGUCUGAUCUGGUUGGGAAGAACAUGCUCCUUUAUUUCUCAGCACAUUGGUGCCCUCCAUGCCGAGCCUUUCUGCCUACGCUCAUUAAAGCAUACCAAGAGAUUAAGGCAAAAGAUGAUGCAUUUGAAGUGAUUUUCAUCUCUAGUGACAGAGACCAAGCCUCUUUUGAUGAAUACUUUGCAGAGAUGCCAUGGUUGGCACUUCCCUUUGGAGAUGAGAGGAAGGCAUCAUUAAGUCGCAAAUUCAAGGUUCGAGGCAUACCCAUGCUUGUAGCUCUUGGGCCAACUGGCCGAACUAUCACAAAAGAAGCCAGAAUGCU